RNAcentral lists this ribosomal RNA (422 nucleotides) under uncultured bacterium. Its description in RNAcentral is "partial 16S ribosomal RNA". It matches the Rfam family "Bacterial small subunit ribosomal RNA", at positions 360 to 774 of the family's 1533-position model. The record is from RNAcentral.
AAUAUUGGACAAUGGGGGCAACCCUGAUCCAGCCAUGCUGCGUGUGUGAAGAAGGUCUUCGGAUUGUAAAGCACUUUAAGUUGGGAGGAAGGGCUUUAGGCUAAUUCUCUGCAGUUUGGAAGGUACCAACAGAAUAAGCAACGGCUAACUCUUUGCCAGCAGCCGCGGUAAUACAGAGGGUGCAAGCGCUAAUUGGAAUUACUGGGCGUAAAGCGCGCGUAGGUGGUUCAGUAAGAUGGGUGUGAAAUCCCCGGGCUUAACCUGGGAACUGCUUUCAUAACUGCUGAGCUAGAGUACGGUAGAGGGUAGUGGAAUUUCCUGUGUAGCGGUGAAAUGCGUAGAUAUAGGAAGGAACACCAGUGGCGAAGGCGACUACCUGGACUGAUACUGACACUGAGGUGCGAAAGCGUGGGGAGCAAACA